This 253-nucleotide ribosomal RNA is filed under the name uncultured bacterium. Its description in RNAcentral is "partial 16S ribosomal RNA". It matches the Rfam family "Bacterial small subunit ribosomal RNA", at positions 524 to 776 of the family's 1533-position model. The record is from RNAcentral.
UACGGACGGGGCAAGCGUUGUUCGGAAUCAUUGGGCGUAAAGGGCGCGUAGGUGGUUUUGUAUGUCUACCGUGAAAGCGUACGGCUCAACCGUAUUUUGUCGGUGGAAACUGCAGGACUUGAGGCUGGGAGGGGCUGGUGGAAUUCCCUGUGUAGCGGUGAAAUGCGUAGAGAUGGGGGAGAACACUCGUGGCGAAGGCGGCCAGCUAGACCAGUUCUGACACUGAGGCGCGACAGCGUGGGGAGCAAACAGG